GGCCUCCAUCUUUGGGGUGAUCGAUUGUGGGGCUCCACGAUUGAUCACCCGCAGAGGGAGGCC
Molecule: microRNA precursor, 63 nt
Filed under: Myotis brandtii (Brandt's bat)
Lineage: Eukaryota; Metazoa; Chordata; Mammalia; Chiroptera; Vespertilionidae
Description: mir-9242 microRNA precursor family
Rfam family: mir-9242 microRNA precursor family
Source: Rfam by way of RNAcentral